RNAcentral lists this long non-coding RNA (1157 nucleotides) under Homo sapiens (human). RNAcentral's name for it is "non-protein coding lnc-HECA-3:4". The record is from RNAcentral. Lineage: Eukaryota; Metazoa; Chordata; Mammalia; Primates; Hominidae.
AAUCUCACACCACUUCCUAGUUGGAGCAAUUAAACAAUAGAGAAGAUGGGUAUUCUGGAGCAGAAUUUAAUGAAACAGAACUCCACCAUCUAUGGCAAGUUUGACUGCUUGAGUCUCCAGAGGAUAAUAGUUGGAGGCCACUGAGGCCCAAAUUCAUCAGUCCGGCCAUUGAAGGACACAAGUGAACAAAGGAGGACGGCAAAGACAGAACUGUGAUAUUCAAACACUCAAUAGCUCACAGUGUCGGGGUUCAUUAUGACACUUACUAAGCACAUGCCAUAUUUCUGACACUGUGCUAAGAGUUUCAUGAACAUUAACUAAAUUAACCCCAUAAAAACGCCAUUAGAAAGAUGCAGUUUUGUACCCCCUUACACAGAUGAAGAAAAUAAAGUAUAGAGACUUUAAGAAAUUUGCCAGAAGUCUUAUAACUGGCUAGCCUGGACUUCUUUUUGUGGAGACUGGAUUCCAAGAUUGAAAGUAGAAGCUACAUGUUUUCUCCAAGCAGGGCUUUCAGACUUCACUUCUGCAACAUUUUAUUGAUGAAAGCAAGUCACAAGACCAGACUGAUUCAAGGGGUGGAGAAAUAGACCCUACUUCUUGAUGGAGGGAGGAGUAGAGUUACAUUGCAAAGGGAUCUGGACAAAAAAAGGAGUGAUUUAUUAGGAAUCAUGUUUAACAAUUUACCACAAUCCCCAGCGCAACUGCCUGUUAGCUGGAUCCAGAAAUGUCUACGACUACUGCAAUGCCACUUGGCCUUAGGGGUGAUGUGACCCAGUGUAAAGAGAUGGUGGUCUUAACCAAUCACAGUUAAGAUAGUUUAGUUUUGGAAGGUAUAAAAAAUAUGUAACAACAUGAAUGCACUUUUAGGGUCAGACAAGAGACUUGGAAAGAGCCUGCAAAAUGGAGGAGCCCUGAGGCCUAAGUCUCAUGAGUGUCAAUGCUUACCUGUAUCUAGACACUGGCAUCCCCCUUUUGAUAAGGCCAAGAUUGAUUGUUUUCCUUUUCUACCUACCCUAUAUCUAAUCCAUGUACAAACACUGUUGACACACAAAAGAACCCUAAAUUCAACAAUCUGUGAAGAAUUUUUGCACUAACAUGUUAGUUCAAAAACUCAACAUUGCUUGCUAAGACUAUUGCAAUAAACUCCUCUAUGAUCC